RNAcentral lists this ribosomal RNA (433 nucleotides) under uncultured bacterium. RNAcentral describes it as "partial 16S ribosomal RNA". It matches the Rfam family "Bacterial small subunit ribosomal RNA", at positions 29 to 507 of the family's 1533-position model. The record is from RNAcentral.
AACGAACGCUGGCGGCAUGCCUAACACAUGCAAGUCGAACGAGACCUUCGGGUCUAGUGGCGCACGGGUGCGUAACGCGUGGGAACCUGCCCUUAGGUUCGGAAUAACUCCCCGAAAGGGGUGCUAAUACCGGAUAAUGUCUUCGGACCAAAGAUUUAUCGCCUUUGGAUGGGCCCGCGUUGGAUUAGCUAGUUGGUAGGGUAAAAGCCUACCAAGGCGACGAUCCAUAGCUGGUCUGAGAGGAUGAUCAGCCACACUGGGACUGAGACACGGCCCAGACUCCUACGGGAGGCAGCAGUGGGGAAUAUUGGGCAAUGGGCGAAAGCCUGAUCCAGCAAUGCCGCGUGAGUGAUGAAGGCCUUAGGGUUGUAAAGCUCUUUUACCCGGGAUGAUAUUGACAGUACCGGGAGAAUAAGCUCCGGCUAACUCCGUG